RNAcentral lists this ribosomal RNA (253 nucleotides) under uncultured bacterium. Its description in RNAcentral is "partial 16S ribosomal RNA". It matches the Rfam family "Bacterial small subunit ribosomal RNA", at positions 524 to 776 of the family's 1533-position model. The record is from RNAcentral.
UACGGGGGGGGUAAGCGUUGUUCGGAAUUACUGGGCGUAAAGGGCUCGUAGGUGGCCAACUAAGUCAUACGUGAAAUCCCUCAGCUUAACUGGGGAACUGCGUGUGAUACUGGAUGGCUUGGAUUUGGGAGAGGGAUGCGGAAUUCCAGGUGUAGCGGUGAAAUGCGUAGAUAUCUGGAGGAACACCGGUGGCGAAGGCGGCAUCCUGGACCAACACUGACACUGAGGAGCGAAAGCCAGGGGAGCAAACGGG